GUCCACGCCGUAAACGAUGUCGACUUGGAGGUUGUGCCCUUGAGGCGUGGCUUCCGGAGCUAACGCGUUAAGUCGACCGCCUGGGGAGUACGGCCGCAAGGUUAAAACUCAAAUGAAUUGACGGGGGCCCGCACAAGCGGUGGAGCAUGUGGUUUAAUUCGAUGCAACGCGAAGAACCUUACCUGGUCUUGACAUCCACGGAAGUUUUCAGAGAUGAGAAUGUGCCUUCGGGAACCGUGAGACAGGUGCUGCAUGGCUGUCGUCAGCUCGUGUUGUGAAAUGUUGGGUUAAGUCCCGCAACGAGCGCAACCCUUAUCCUUUGUUGCCAGCGAUUCGGUCGGGAACUCAAAGGAGACUGCCAGUGAUAAACUGGAGGAAGGUGGGGAUGACGUCAAGUCAUCAUGGCCCUUACGACCAGGGCUACACACGUGCUACAAUGGCGCAUACAAAGAGAAGCGACCUCGCGAGAGCAAGCGGACCUCAUAAAGUGCGUCGUAGUCCGGAUUGGAGUCUGCAACUCGACUCCAUGAAGUCGGAAUCGCUAGUAAUCGUGGAUCAGAAUGCCACGGUGAAUACGUUCCCGGGCCUUGUACACACCGCCCGUCACACCAUGGGAGUGGGUUGCAAAAGAAGUAGGUAGCUUAACCUUCGGGAGGGCGCUUACCACUUUGUGAUU
This 676-nucleotide ribosomal RNA is filed under the name Escherichia albertii. RNAcentral's name for it is "bacterial SSU rRNA". It matches the Rfam family "Bacterial small subunit ribosomal RNA", at positions 793 to 1469 of the family's 1533-position model. Lineage: Bacteria; Pseudomonadati; Pseudomonadota; Gammaproteobacteria; Enterobacterales; Enterobacteriaceae. The record is from RNAcentral.